CAAAUGUUCUCUGAGUUCUCCUAGCCUGAUCACCAAAAAACAGUAAAAAGAAGAAGCUGACUAUAACAGUGUGGUGGAGACAGCAAGAUUUGGUCUACCAAUAAAAUUUCCAAGACAAUGAACUCUACAAAGAACUUGCAGGCUGGAAUACAUCUACACCCACUUUCUGAAAUGCUUACUGUGGUGGUUCACACACUAUGACCUUAGUUGAAAACAGCAGACACCAUACCAUGUUAGCAAGCUUAUAAACAAAAAUGUCACAAUGGUUUGGAAAGGCAGUGACAGUAGAUCUGAAACUGCCACUAAUAUAAAGCCAGCGUAGAAGAAGGGGAGCAUAGGGGUCAUUUUCACAGUCAUCUCAUUAAGAGAUUUGUCCAAUGGCACUAUUCAUAGCUCUGAAAAUACUAAUUACCGUUUUCUUUGUGAUGUAAUCACUCACAAGAUUUUAGACACGGUGCACCAUGUGGCAAAAGGGGUUUCUGAAAGGGAACAGUCCUUAACUACAUUGAUGAACUUUUAGUAGAUUUGCCUCUAUGAACGAAAAAAAGGAAGAAUAAAACUCCCAGUAUUCCCAAGGGAUUCAGUUUGGGCCAAUGACCUGGAGAGGAAUGCAAUAUACCACUUUCUUGCCUGUUUCAUAAAAUGCAAUGUGUGACUAUCCAUGAAGGCAACCAUGGAGACCACGUGUUGACUAUGGCUCCAACGCAUGACAAAGGAAAACCACCUCAAAUGAUAGAAGAAAAGAAACAAACCUUUACUUACUAAGCCACUGAGAUUCCAGAGCUUGUUUAUGACUGUACCAUAAGAAAGCCCUACCUGACCCAUUAAGAAAGUGGUACUGGCAAUGGAGACUACCAUCGUAAGACUUUUAAGAUGUGCCAAGGCAUCAGGUACCAAAGAAUAUAGUGAUCCAAACUUCAUGUGCUUUGAAGAUAACCCAAGGAAUAAUCCAAGGAUAGGUUUGCAAUGUGAUUCUAGGACUGCUGGAUCCUGGGAAAAGUGUGUGAAUAUCUUCUGGAUCUAUUGCUCUGAUACUUCUAUUGAGGGUAAUUUUUUUUCUGUUUUGUCAGAUAAUUAGUUUUGUGCAAUGUUGAGAGUUAGUAUACAUCUCACACUAGCUUUACUCAAUAUCCUGGGAAUGUUUAAAAUAAAAGACAUACCAAACAAGAAAGAUAAAUAUAA
This 1182-nucleotide long non-coding RNA is filed under the name Vulpes vulpes (red fox). RNAcentral's name for it is "lncRNA (ENSVVUG00000009353.1)". The record is from RNAcentral. Lineage: Eukaryota; Metazoa; Chordata; Mammalia; Carnivora; Canidae.